AUCUGGGCGGCGGAAUUCAGGAUGGCUGGCGGGCUUCGCGCUCGUCCGGUCGUUUGAUAUUUCCGUCGCCGUGUCGGACGUCGCGACCUGUUUGUCGUCGGUCCAUGCUCGGAGGAAUCGCGAUCGAGUUCGUUGCGCGGUGCGUUUCGGCGUGCCGAGCGGCGAAGACGCGGCUCUCUGGCUGACGGCGGACAGUAAGCAACGGUGUCCGGCGUCGUGUCUCGCACUCGACGUCGGUGCCGGUCUGCGACGAUUUCUUCGGGCCUCUUUCCGACCCGUCUUGAAACACGGACCAAGGAGUCUAACAUGCGCGCGAGUCGCGGGGUUUCGAGCGUACCACGGUACGCUCGUUACUUGCGAAACCCGUACGUUGAAGGCGUAAUGAAAGUGAACAGGGAAGAUGGCGUUCCGAGUCCACGUACCGUGAUCGAGUGUCGCGGCCGGACGUCCGCACUCCCGGGGCGUCUCAAUGGCUCGUCGCGGAUGCGGACGGUCGUCUCUCGGGGCGGCCGUCGGUCUGCGACGGACCGA
This 531-nucleotide ribosomal RNA is filed under the name Fiorinia hymenanthis. RNAcentral's name for it is "eukaryotic LSU rRNA". RNAcentral also lists the same sequence under 1 other name. Lineage: Eukaryota; Metazoa; Arthropoda; Insecta; Hemiptera; Diaspididae. The record is from RNAcentral.